Molecule: transfer RNA, 87 nt
Filed under: Pseudomonadota bacterium
Lineage: Bacteria; Pseudomonadati; Pseudomonadota
Description: tRNA-Leu
Rfam family: tRNA
About the family: Transfer RNA (tRNA) molecules are approximately 80 nucleotides in length. Their secondary structure includes four short double-helical elements and three loops (D, anti-codon, and T loops).
Source: RNAcentral
GCCCGGAUGGCGAAACUGGUAGACGCAAGGGACUUAAAAUCCCUCGACCGAAAGGUUAUGCGGGUUCGAUUCCCGCUCCGGGCACCA